This 494-nucleotide ribosomal RNA is filed under the name Lactiplantibacillus plantarum. RNAcentral describes it as "bacterial SSU rRNA". It matches the Rfam family "Bacterial small subunit ribosomal RNA", at positions 50 to 513 of the family's 1533-position model. Lineage: Bacteria; Bacillati; Bacillota; Bacilli; Lactobacillales; Lactobacillaceae. The record is from RNAcentral.
UANNCUGCAGUCGACGAACUCUGGUAUUGAUUGGUGCUUGCUCAUGAUUUACAUUUGAGUGAGUGGCGAACUGGUGAGUAACACGUGGGAAACCUGCCCAGAAGCGGGGGAUAACACCUGGAAACAGAUGCUAAUACCGCAUAACAACUUGGACCGCAUGGUCCGAGUUUGAAAGAUGGCUUCGGCUAUCACUUUUGGAUGGUCCCGCGGCGUAUUAGCUAGAUGGUGGGGUAACGGCUCACCAUGGCAAUGAUACGUAGCCGACCUGAGAGGGUAAUCGGCCACAUUGGGACUGAGACACGGCCCAAACUCCUACGGGAGGCAGCAGUAGGGAAUCUUCCACAAUGGACGAAAGUCUGAUGGAGCAACGCCGCGUGAGUGAAGAAGGGUUUCGGCUCGUAAAACUCUGUUGUUAAAGAAGAACAUAUCUGAGAGUAACUGUUCAGGUAUUGACGGUAUUUAACCAGAAAGCCACGGCUAACUACGUGCCAGCA